This 500-nucleotide ribosomal RNA is filed under the name uncultured bacterium. RNAcentral's name for it is "partial 16S ribosomal RNA". It matches the Rfam family "Bacterial small subunit ribosomal RNA", at positions 30 to 523 of the family's 1533-position model. The record is from RNAcentral.
AUUGAACGCUGGCGGAAUGCUUUACACAUGCAAGUCGAACGGCAGCACGGACUUCGGUCUGGUGGCGAGUGGCGAACGGGUGAGUAAUGUAUCGGAACGUGCCCAGUCGUGGGGGAUAACGUAGUGAAAAUUACGCUAAUACCGCAUACGAUCUAGGGAUGAAAGCGGGGGAUGGCAAGACCUCGCGCGAUUGGAGCGGCCGAUAUCAGAUUAGGUAGUUGGUGGGGUAAAGGCCCACCAAGCCAACGAUCUGUAGCUGGUCUGAGAGGACGACCAGCCACACUGGAACUGAGACACGGUCCAGACUCCUACGGGAGGCAGCAGUGGGGAAUUUUGGACAAUGGGCGAAAGCCUGAUCCAGCCAUUCCGCGUGCAGGAUGAAGGCCCUCGGGUUGUAAACUGCUUUUGUACAGAGCGAAAAGGUUUCUACUAAUACUAGGAGCUCAUGACGGUACUGUAAGAAUAAGCACCGGCUAACUACGUGCCAGCCGCCGCGGUAA